RNAcentral lists this ribosomal RNA (253 nucleotides) under uncultured bacterium. RNAcentral describes it as "partial 16S ribosomal RNA". It matches the Rfam family "Bacterial small subunit ribosomal RNA", at positions 524 to 776 of the family's 1533-position model. The record is from RNAcentral.
GACAGAGGGUGCAAACGUUGUUCGGAAUUACUGGGCGUAAAGCGCGUGUAGGCGGCAGGGCAAGUCGGAUGUGAAAUCCCGUGGCUCAACCACGGAAGUGCACCCGAAACUGCCCAGCUAGAGCCUCGGAGAGGAAGGUGGAAUGCUUGGUGUAGAGGUGAAAUUCGUAGAUAUCAAGCGGAACACCGGUGGCGAAGGCGGCCUUCUGGACGAUGACUGACGCUGAGACGCGAAAGCGUGGGGAGCAAACAGG